GUUUGUAUUGAUGAGUUCUAUAUGUGUACCGAGUUUCGUGUGUCUACGUACAAGUAUGUAUGAUAUAUGGCCCUCCAUAUUCCAGGGGGCGCUGUAGAGCCCCUGUGCCACGCCCGUGUAUCAGUCUCUGCCCGGCCCUAAUGGCCGCAGGUUCCAAUGUGUGUGCCAAUUUUCAAGACUUUUUAAGCAUGUUAAGGGCCCCAAAAGCCCCCGAAACCUUGAAGAAAAAUAAUAAUAAAUAUAGCUGCAAGCAGCGAUGGCGGGCUCAAGCCACCAAUGCCAUCGCCACCCCGGUGGCAUCAGGUAAACUGUGCCCAGCGGGCACAUGCAUUCACAAUAUCCCUCUGGCAGUGAGUUUUAAAGGAUACGGCAGUUAAAGGGUUAAUCCGAAUCAUCUAGACUUUAAAAUCACAUUUACAGAACAAUAUAUAUAUUAGUAACACUGUACAAUAAGAUUUCAUUUAUAAACAUUAUGUUAACAUGAACAAUAUUUAUAUAGCAUUCAUUCAUGUCAGUUAAUAUUCCAAACUUAAACAUGAAAACAUUGUUUUAUUGUGAUUUUUUUCCAAGUACAUUUUACCAAUUCCAAACCAUAUAAAUCUUAAUAACUACCAUUAUUUUUUAUUUAAUCAUUUAUGAGUGCUAUACAAUAGUCCAGGAAAGCUGGAAGAGAAAAACUCCUUAUAUUCAUGUGUGCAGAAUUAUUAGGCAUGUUUUCUUUUACAGAUGAAAUGCGCUAAAAUAGACUUUUAACUCAAACUGUAAGGUCGAAAAUUAUGAAAUACCCAUGAGAAAUAUCAAACACAAAUGCAAUACAGAAAUGGAUAAGUUAAGACUUGACCAUUGUACAAAAAAUACUGACUGGGUCAUGAGGUCAGAAAAGAAGAAGAAAAAAGCAGGUCAAGAAGAACUGACAAAAAGAAUUGCAAAAUAAUUAGGAAUUAAUGUGAAGAUUAAUUUUUAGUCAAUUCUGCAAGACAGACUUUCAGGAAAGGAGGU
This is a long non-coding RNA of Carassius gibelio (silver crucian carp), 999 nucleotides long. RefSeq lists it as uncharacterized. The transcript is spliced from 3 exons. The record is from RefSeq and is a predicted model, not a curated record. Lineage: Eukaryota; Metazoa; Chordata; Actinopteri; Cypriniformes; Cyprinidae.